GGACCCACACAAGCAGUGGAUCACGUGGUUUAAUUCGACAAUAAACGGGGAACCUUACCCAGACUUGACAUCUAUAGAAUCUUUUGGAAACAAGAGAGUGCCCGUAAGGGAGCUAUAAGACAGGUGCUGCAUGGUUGUCGUCAGCUCGUGCCUUGAGGUGUUCGGUUAAGUCCGUUAACGAGCGCAACCCAUGUCGUUAGUUGUAUUUUCUAACGAGACUGCCUAGGUUAACUAGGAGGAAGGUGUGGAUGACGUCAAAUCAGCAUGGCUUUUACGUCUGGGGCUACACACAUGAUACAAUGGUAUGCACAAAGAGUAGCAAUACAGUAAUGUUGAGCAAAUCUUAAAAACAUAUCUCAGUCCGGAUUGAGGGCUGCAACUCGCCCUCAUGAAGUUGGAAUUGCUAGUAAUCGUAAAUCAGACAUGUUACGGUGAAUAUGUUCCUGGGUCUU
RNAcentral lists this ribosomal RNA (452 nucleotides) under uncultured bacterium. RNAcentral's name for it is "bacterial SSU rRNA". It matches the Rfam family "Bacterial small subunit ribosomal RNA", at positions 917 to 1382 of the family's 1533-position model. The record is from RNAcentral.